ACCUCAUCAGGUAUACCUUUUGUGGUUUGGCUACUUAGAUUCUGAUCAAUGAGGUUCACCGAUUGGACUUGCGGAGUUUACUUGUAAGACUUUGCUGAGGAAAAUUAAUCACCAUUGCUAAUCCUGCUCUUCCUUUGUAUUAAGAUCAUGUUGUUUGGCUUCAAUGCUACAUGUUAUUUUGACAUGUUAUGGAUAAUAUUGGAAUCUAUUUCAAUACAUUAGGACUGGGUGGUGUUUCGUCAAGUUGGUUUAGAGUGUGGAUUUCAGGGAAGAACAAAUAAGUUGGUUGAUGGAUGCUAUUCGUUUUGGCAGGGAGGCGUUUGCUCACUAUUAAAAAGAUUAAGUUUGGAUAUUGAUGAACAAUCAGUUCAACCUUAUGCUCGAGAAGGCUCUUCUUUUGAUGAUCUAUCAACUGAGGCUUAAGAAUGUUUUAUGCUGAAAUAAACACAAGAGCUCGACCUCUUACUUGGGUUUUUGUUAAGUGUGCUCAAUAGCCGGGCAGUACAGAAUGUGGGUAUUACGUGAUGAAGUUCAUGCAAGACAUAGCAAGGCAAAAGAGCAUUACAAUUACAGAUGUGUUGACGAGACAAGCACCUUAUACUCAAUCUGAAUUGGAUAUGGUGAGAGUGGAAUACUGUGACUUUCUAGGACGCUACAUAUGAUACAUGUUUUUAUUGCAAUGAACAGGUAGUUUUUAUAUUUAUAAUUUAGGUAUAUCUUGAUACGAUGUCAAUUUCUGUAGGAUUAUGUCUUGAUCAUAUUUGUAGAACAACAUUGGUUUACAGUUGAUUAAUGAAAAUUAAUUAGU
Cucumis melo (muskmelon) is the source of this 808-nucleotide long non-coding RNA. RefSeq lists it as uncharacterized. The record is from RefSeq and is a predicted model, not a curated record. The transcript is spliced from 5 exons. NCBI's taxonomy places the organism in Eukaryota, Viridiplantae, Streptophyta, Magnoliopsida, Cucurbitales, Cucurbitaceae.